UGCCGGGUAACGCCCGGGCGCCGCGAGGCGACGGAAAGUGCCGCAGAGAGCAGACCGCCGAUGGCCCCCCGGGGCACAGGCAAGGGUGAAAGGGUGCGGUAAGAGCGCACCGGGCCGCUGGCAACAGGGGCCGCAUGGCAAACCCCAUCCGGAGCAAGGCCAAAUAGGGGACGAGGGGCCGCCUGCCCCGCCCGAGUUCCGGGUAGGCCGCUUGAGGUCCGGAGCGAUCCGGAUCCCAGAUAAAUGAUCCCGCCCGUCCCCACCGGGGCGGGACACAGAACUCGGCUUAUGACGCCCGUCCUCCU
RNAcentral lists this RNase P RNA (305 nucleotides) under Gemmatimonadota bacterium. RNAcentral describes it as "partial RNase P RNA component class A". It matches the Rfam family "Bacterial RNase P class A", at positions 72 to 367 of the family's 367-position model. Rfam says of the family: Ribonuclease P (RNase P) is a ubiquitous endoribonuclease, found in archaea, bacteria and eukarya as well as chloroplasts and mitochondria. Its best characterised activity is the generation of mature 5'-ends of tRNAs by cleaving the 5'-leader elements of precursor-tRNAs. Lineage: Bacteria; Pseudomonadati; Gemmatimonadota. The record is from RNAcentral.